RNAcentral lists this ribosomal RNA (220 nucleotides) under uncultured bacterium. RNAcentral describes it as "partial 16S ribosomal RNA". It matches the Rfam family "Bacterial small subunit ribosomal RNA", at positions 111 to 334 of the family's 1533-position model. The record is from RNAcentral.
UAAUGUCUGGGAAACUGCCUGAUGGAGGGGGAUAACUACUGGAAACGGUAGCUAAUACCGCAUAACGUCGCAUGACCAAAGUGGGGGACCUUCGGGCCUCAUGCCAUCAGAUGUGCCCAGAUGGGAUUAGCUAGUAGGUGGGGUAACGGCUCACCUAGGCGACGAUCCCUAGCUGGUCUGAGAGGAUGACCAGCCACACUGGAACUGAGACACGGUCCAG